RNAcentral lists this ribosomal RNA (2930 nucleotides) under Escherichia coli. RNAcentral describes it as "23S ribosomal RNA". It matches the Rfam family "Bacterial large subunit ribosomal RNA". Lineage: Bacteria; Pseudomonadati; Pseudomonadota; Gammaproteobacteria; Enterobacterales; Enterobacteriaceae. The record is from RNAcentral.
GGGUUGUGAGGUUAAGCGACUAAGCGUACACGGUGGAUGCCCUGGCAGUCAGAGGCGAUGAAGGACGUGCUAAUCUGCGAUAAGCGUCGGUAAGGUGAUAUGAACCGUUAUAACCGGCGAUUUCCGAAUGGGGAAACCCAGUGUGUUUCGACACACUAUCAUUAACUGAAUCCAUAGGUUAAUGAGGCGAACCGGGGGAACUGAAACAUCUAAGUACCCCGAGGAAAAGAAAUCAACCGAGAUUCCCCCAGUAGCGGCGAGCGAACGGGGAGCAGCCCAGAGCCUGAAUCAGUGUGUGUGUUAGUGGAAGCGUCUGGAAAGGCGCGCGAUACAGGGUGACAGCCCCGUACACAAAAAUGCACAUGCUGUGAGCUCGAUGAGUAGGGCGGGACACGUGGUAUCCUGUCUGAAUAUGGGGGGACCAUCCUCCAAGGCUAAAUACUCCUGACUGACCGAUAGUGAACCAGUACCGUGAGGGAAAGGCGAAAAGAACCCCGGCGAGGGGAGUGAAAAAGAACCUGAAACCGUGUACGUACAAGCAGUGGGAGCACGCUUAGGCGUGUGACUGCGUACCUUUUGUAUAAUGGGUCAGCGACUUAUAUUCUGUAGCAAGGUUAACCGAAUAGGGGAGCCGAAGGGAAACCGAGUCUUAACUGGGCGUUAAGUUGCAGGGUAUAGACCCGAAACCCGGUGAUCUAGCCAUGGGCAGGUUGAAGGUUGGGUAACACUAACUGGAGGACCGAACCGACUAAUGUUGAAAAAUUAGCGGAUGACUUGUGGCUGGGGGUGAAAGGCCAAUCAAACCGGGAGAUAGCUGGUUCUCCCCGAAAGCUAUUUAGGUAGCGCCUCGUGAAUUCAUCUCCGGGGGUAGAGCACUGUUUCGGCAAGGGGGUCAUCCCGACUUACCAACCCGAUGCAAACUGCGAAUACCGGAGAAUGUUAUCACGGGAGACACACGGCGGGUGCUAACGUCCGUCGUGAAGAGGGAAACAACCCAGACCGCCAGCUAAGGUCCCAAAGUCAUGGUUAAGUGGGAAACGAUGUGGGAAGGCCCAGACAGCCAGGAUGUUGGCUUAGAAGCAGCCAUCAUUUAAAGAAAGCGUAAUAGCUCACUGGUCGAGUCGGCCUGCGCGGAAGAUGUAACGGGGCUAAACCAUGCACCGAAGCUGCGGCAGCGACGCUGAUGCGUUGUUGGGUAGGGGAGCGUUCUGUAAGCCUGCGAAGGUGUGCUGUGAGGCAUGCUGGAGGUAUCAGAAGUGCGAAUGCUGACAUAAGUAACGAUAAAGCGGGUGAAAAGCCCGCUCGCCGGAAGACCAAGGGUUCCUGUCCAACGUUAAUCGGGGCAGGGUGAGUCGACCCCUAAGGCGAGGCCGAAAGGCGUAGUCGAUGGGAAACAGGUUAAUAUUCCUGUACUUGGUGUUACUGCGAAGGGGGGACGGAGAAGGCUAUGUUGGCCGGGCGACGGUUGUCCCGGUUUAAGCGUGUAGGCUGGUUUUCCAGGCAAAUCCGGAAAAUCAAGGCUGAGGCGUGAUGACGAGGCACUACGGUGCUGAAGCAACAAAUGCCCUGCUUCCAGGAAAAGCCUCUAAGCAUCAGGUAACAUCAAAUCGUACCCCAAACCGACACAGGUGGUCAGGUAGAGAAUACCAAGGCGCUUGAGAGAACUCGGGUGAAGGAACUAGGCAAAAUGGUGCCGUAACUUCGGGAGAAGGCACGCUGAUAUGUAGGUGAGGUCCCUCGCGGAUGGAGCUGAAAUCAGUCGAAGAUACCAGCUGGCUGCAACUGUUUAUUAAAAACACAGCACUGUGCAAACACGAAAGUGGACGUAUACGGUGUGACGCCUGCCCGGUGCCGGAAGGUUAAUUGAUGGGGUUAGCGCAAGCGAAGCUCUUGAUCGAAGCCCCGGUAAACGGCGGCCGUAACUAUAACGGUCCUAAGGUAGCGAAAUUCCUUGUCGGGUAAGUUCCGACCUGCACGAAUGGCGUAAUGAUGGCCAGGCUGUCUCCACCCGAGACUCAGUGAAAUUGAACUCGCUGUGAAGAUGCAGUGUACCCGCGGCAAGACGGAAAGACCCCGUGAACCUUUACUAUAGCUUGACACUGAACAUUGAGCCUUGAUGUGUAGGAUAGGUGGGAGGCUUUGAAGUGUGGACGCCAGUCUGCAUGGAGCCGACCUUGAAAUACCACCCUUUAAUGUUUGAUGUUCUAACGUUGACCCGUAAUCCGGGUUGCGGACAGUGUCUGGUGGGUAGUUUGACUGGGGCGGUCUCCUCCUAAAGAGUAACGGAGGAGCACGAAGGUUGGCUAAUCCUGGUCGGACAUCAGGAGGUUAGUGCAAUGGCAUAAGCCAGCUUGACUGCGAGCGUGACGGCGCGAGCAGGUGCGAAAGCAGGUCAUAGUGAUCCGGUGGUUCUGAAUGGAAGGGCCAUCGCUCAACGGAUAAAAGGUACUCCGGGGAUAACAGGCUGAUACCGCCCAAGAGUUCAUAUCGACGGCGGUGUUUGGCACCUCGAUGUCGGCUCAUCACAUCCUGGGGCUGAAGUAGGUCCCAAGGGUAUGGCUGUUCGCCAUUUAAAGUGGUACGCGAGCUGGGUUUAGAACGUCGUGAGACAGUUCGGUCCCUAUCUGCCGUGGGCGCUGGAGAACUGAGGGGGGCUGCUCCUAGUACGAGAGGACCGGAGUGGACGCAUCACUGGUGUUCGGGUUGUCAUGCCAAUGGCACUGCCCGGUAGCUAAAUGCGGAAGAGAUAAGUGCUGAAAGCAUCUAAGCACGAAACUUGCCCCGAGAUGAGUUCUCCCUGACUCCUUGAGAGUCCUGAAGGAACGUUGAAGACGACGACGUUGAUAGGCCGGGUGUGUAAGCGCAGCGAUGCGUUGAGCUAACCGGUACUAAUGAACCGUGAGGCUUAACCUUACAACGCCGAAGCUGUU